UCAGGAUAGACCACAGAGUGCUUGGUGAUUU
Molecule: non-coding RNA, 31 nt
Filed under: Homo sapiens (human)
Lineage: Eukaryota; Metazoa; Chordata; Mammalia; Primates; Hominidae
Source: RNAcentral